Molecule: ribosomal RNA, 413 nt
Filed under: uncultured bacterium
Lineage: Bacteria
Description: bacterial SSU rRNA
Rfam family: Bacterial small subunit ribosomal RNA
Source: RNAcentral
GUGCCAGCAGCCGCGGUGAUACAGAGGUGGCAAGCGUUGUUCGGAUUUACUGGGCGUAAAGGGUGCGUAGGUAGUUUUGCGUGUCAGAUGUGAAAGCUCAUCGCUCAACGAUGAAAGUGCAUUUGAAACUGCAGGACUGGAGUACGGGGGAGGAGAGUGGAAUUCUUGGUGUAGCGGUGAAAUGCGUAGAUAUCAAGAAGAACACCGGUGGCGAAGGCGACUCUCUAUCCGAUACUGACGCUGAGGCACGAAAGCUGGGGGAGCAAACAGGAUUAGAUACCCUGGUAGUCCCAGCCUUAAACGGUGUACACUUGGUGUGGGAGGAUUUGACCCCUUCUGUGCCGGAGCUAACGCGUUAAGUGUACCGCCUGGGGAGUACGGCCGCAAGGUUACAACUCAAAGAAAUUGACGGG